Molecule: long non-coding RNA, 1488 nt
Organism: Gadus morhua (Atlantic cod)
Lineage: Eukaryota; Metazoa; Chordata; Actinopteri; Gadiformes; Gadidae
Exons: 4
Source: RefSeq, a predicted model, not a curated record
ACCAGGCCAAACCAAACCAAAGCCACACCCCUGAACCUGUGUGACCUGUCGUGCUGCCAACCACGGGCACGUUUCUGGGUGUUUCGUUCCACUGCUCGUCCACAAACCCUGACUGAUGCGAAAGUUCAGUUGAUGAGGUGAACUCACUGCGCUCUAACGAGAUGUGACUCAAAACCAAAGUACGACUCCAUUAUAGAAAGAAAAAGAUUACUCGAGCUACAGGUGGUCGGAGAUGGAAGGCCUUCCAGAUGGAGAAAGGAACAGCUCGGCUGGGGAGGGAAGCCUCCCACAGAGAUCAGAGCCAAGGGUGCAUUACAACACGUUCAAUGCUGAGAAGGACGUGAUGUCCAGGGGGAGGGAGGCCUUCCGGCUUCAGCUGUCUGAGGCUUCCUCUGUACGGUGCAGGUGCACUUAACAGGUGCUAUGUUCUUUUUUGGUGUUCAGACCCAGCUGCUGAACCGAGAUAGAUCAUGGUGUACAGAAGAGAGAACUGAAUAUAUCUCAGCUCCUCUCCAGCCUCUCCAAGGCAAAAUAUAUCACAGUGGAAGGUACCGUUUGGAACGGCUAUAUAAGUCACAAAGAACUUCCUUUCAAAUCCCUUAAGGGGCUGUUGUUAAACAUUUUUACAAGGCUUAUAUUUAUCCAUAUUCAAUGCUGGUAACAGCUUAUUUUGUCAUUUUCACAUCACGUCCAGCUCCCAUUCAAGCAAAUUUUGUAUCCGAGAAACAAAAUUAGUUUCUGCGAUGAUUGUUUGGAAGCCAAAAGGCUUUUACAGUUGUCACUAUGUUGAAACCGGCUCUUAAUCCAUGUAUGGUUAAGAGCGUGCAUGGCCCUCAGGGCGAGUGAAACAUGGGUGGAAAUUACGGUGAGGACAAGACCUAAAUGAACUGUGAAUCAAAGGAUACGCAUCCCCAACUCAACUUGUUUAAACCUCCAUACUGUUAUCAAAACAAUCAUUUUAAAAGGCAAACUGUGGGAUGGUAAGAAAGUGAUUGGACCAAAACACUUUUUUUGAUUGAAUUGUUUGUUUAAUCCAGCAUUUAGAAUCCCUUUGAAUAAGGAGAUGUAGCGACAUGCCCACAUUGUGAUUCAACAUUCACCUGUCAUAAUAAAUGCUGGGGGAAACAAAGAAAACUAAUGAAUGCAACGUGUGGAAACAUGCAUAAUGUGAUGGAAAUAUGUGUAGCCCUGUGCGAACUGUAAUUGUAUUAAAGGGCUGCAUAAAUAAUGAUUUAACUGAGUUGAUCUGAUCAGCCACAACCAAUACAAUCUUUAUCAGGGUUCACAUGAGGCCAAGAAAAUCUUUGAAAGUUCAAGAGUAACAUUGCCUCUCUGAACCGACAUAUUUACAUUUACUGGGAUGGUAAAAUACCUUUCUUGUGGAUUUAAUGAAUAUAUGUUCUUCAUUGAAAUGUCUUAUCAGCCCAUUCGGGUUCGGCUUCUAUAAAAGCAGCAAGACACUGAAUAACAAACCCUGAUAUAACCGAA